CCUACGGGAGGCAGCAGUGAGGAAUAUUGGUCAAUGGACGAGAGUCUGAACCAGCCAAGUAGCGUGAAGGAUGACUGCCCUAUGGGUUGUAAACUUCUUUUAUAAAGGAAUAAAACGAGGCACGUGUGCCUUUUUGCAUGUACUUUAUGAAUAAGGAUCGGCUAACUCCGUGCCAGCAGCCGCGGUAAUACGGAGGAUCCGAGCGUUAUCCGGAUUUAUUGGGUUUAAAGGGAGCGUAGAUGGGUUGUUAAGUCAGUUGUGAAAGUUUGCGGCUCAACCGUAAAAUUGCAAUUGAUACUGGCGGUCUUGAGUGCAGUUGAGGUAGGCGGAAUGCGUGGUGUAGCGGUGAAAUGCUUAGAGAUCACGAAGAACCCCGAUUGCGAAGGCAGCUUACUAAACUGUGACUGACAUUGAUGCUCGAAAGUGUGGGUAUCAAACAGGAUUAGAUACCCUUGUAGUC
This 460-nucleotide ribosomal RNA is filed under the name uncultured bacterium. RNAcentral describes it as "partial 16S ribosomal RNA". It matches the Rfam family "Bacterial small subunit ribosomal RNA", at positions 338 to 795 of the family's 1533-position model. The record is from RNAcentral.